GAUGGUUAGCUGGUCUGAGAGGAUGAUCAGCCACACUGGAACUGAAACACGGUCCAGACUCCUACGGGAGGCAGCAGUGAGGAAUUUUGCGCAAUGGGGGAAACCCUGACGCAGCAACGCCGCGUGAGUGAAGAAGGCCUUCGGGUCGUAAAGCUCUGUCAAGUGGGAAAAAAUCCUUUCGAUGAAUAGUCGGGAGGUCUGAUGGUACCACUGGAGGAAGCACCGGCUAACUCCGUGCCAGCAGCCGCGGUAAUACGGAGGGUGCAAGCGUUGUUCGGAAUUACUGGGCGUAAAGAGCGUGUAGGCGGUAUGGUAAGUCAGAUGUGAAAGCCCUGGCUUAACCCAGGAAGUGCAUUUGAUACUGCCAUUCUUGAGUAUGGGAGAGGAGAGUGGAAUUCCCAGUGUGGAGGUGAAAUUCGUAGGUAUUGGGAGGAACACCCGUGGCGAAGGCGACUCUCUGGAGCAAUACUGACGCUGAGACGCGAAAGCGUGGGGAGCAAACAGGAUUAGAUACCCUGGUAGUCCACGCCGUAAACGAUGAGAACUAGGUGUAGCGGGUAUUGACCCCUGCUGUGCCGGAGUUAACGCAUUAAGUUCUCCGCCUGGGGAGUACGGCCGCGAGGCUAAAACUCAAAGGAAUUGACGGGGACCCGCACAAGCGGUGGAGCAUGUGGUUUAAUUCGACGCAACGCGAAGAACCUUACCUGGAUUUGACAUCCUCUGACAGCCCCGGAAACGGGGUCUUUCCGACUUGUCGGAACAGAGUGACAGGUGCUGCAUGGCUGUCGUCAGCUCGUGUCGUGAGAUGUUGGGUUAAGUCCCGCAACGAGCGCAACCCUUGUUUUUAGUUGCCAGUAUUAAGUUAGGCACUCUAAAAAUACUGCCUCGGUUAACGGGGAGGAAGGUGGGGAUGACGUCAAGUCCUCAUGGCCUUUAUAUCCAGGGCUACACACGUGCUACAAUGGGCUGUACAAAGGGUUGCCAUUCCGCGAGGAGGCGCUAAUCCCAAAAAGCAGCUCUCAGUUCGGAUUGGAGUCUGCAACUCGACUCCAUGAAGUUGGAAUCGCUAGUAAUCGUGGAUCAGCAUGCCACGGUGAAUACGUUCCCGGGUCUUGUACACACCGCCCGUCACACCACGAAAGUCGACUGUACCAGAAGUUGCUGGGCUAACCCCUUUUGGGGAGGUAGGUACCUAAGGUACGGCCGGUAAUUGGGGUGAAGUCGUAACAAGGUA
RNAcentral lists this ribosomal RNA (1234 nucleotides) under metagenome. RNAcentral describes it as "bacterial SSU rRNA". It matches the Rfam family "Bacterial small subunit ribosomal RNA", at positions 278 to 1498 of the family's 1533-position model. The record is from RNAcentral.